UAGUCUAUAAGGUGCCACAGGAUUCUUUGCUGCUUUUACAGAUCCAGACUAACACGGCUACUCCUCUGAUACUAGAUCUAUUUAGACUAUCUGAUCUUCUAGGUCAGACUGGAUAGAAGAUUAGAAAGAUCUAGACUAGGUCAGGCUAGAUCGAAGGUCCCUCCUGGCCUGGGAAUCUAGGAGUCUGCUGCUGAGAUGGAGCAGGGGUGCCAUAGGGUGAUUUUCACCCCCGGGCUUAUUCUCCUUCCCAGAGGGUACUCAGAGCUGAGCGUCCAGCCAUGGAGCCACCAUGCAAGUCCAAUAGCCUCAUGGCCCAAGCUCUUCGCUGCACAGCAGGAGAGCUGGGUUUGAAUCCUGAAAUUGCCUACAUUCCCUAGAUCAGCAGGGGAGGGGGCAUGUUCAGCCUUUAACGGGGGCAGAGAGCCACACUGCUGGGGCCUCAGAGGGGCCAGAAGAAGGGUCAGAGAGCAAGGUUGGGGUCAGCCAAGCCAUGUCAUUCUGCUACAGUCUCCCCCAGGCCCAUUCCCACACUGCAGAACCCAGCACCUCGGCUGCUGUUAGCUUGUUCCCCUCCAGGGCUGGGGCACUGGAGGGGCCAUGGAUUGAGCUGGCAAGGGAAGUUCAAUUCCUGUUUUAUCCUAAAGUGAAAACAGAGUCUCUGGGCAUCUUGUGAAGCUGAGUUGUAGGUUGCCUUCCGUGCUCAUGAUUGUACAGUGGGUCUGGGGAAGUCCCACUCCAGCUGGAGAAGCUGCAGAUCCAUGUUCUGGCAGAACUGGCCAGGCCAAUCCUUGACGCCAGGGAUACCCCCCCACCCAGCAUCUUUUCGCCAGAGGCUCUGGGCUCUGCUCAUGAGCACAACUGUCUGUCUCCACUGAAAACUUUGCCCACGUAGGAAUGCAAAAGCCACAGCUGCUGGUAGGCUAAAGCCCCAUCGGUGCUCCAGGGAAUUGGUGCUACCUGGGAGUAGCUCAGGAGAUGCUGCUUCCCAGCAAGGGGCUGAUACGUUGUCCAGGGCCACGGCUCUAAUCUAAACCCUUGAGUCAGCUGGGUAGCUUUCAAGGGCACCAUUUGCAAGGCCCUAGGUACCCCAGCGCUUUCUCCUCGCUAGACAAUGAGGUCACGUUAGAACACGACCUUGAGGAGUCAUGUUAACGGUGCGGACAGGGACAAGUCAGGUUUAACAUCAUGCCAUCUGCUCAGGGGUUACCCUAUGGAUCUGGUAGGGUUCACCCAUGACCAGCUUCUGUAACACUAAACACAACAUGCCCUAUCUACACUGGAUGCUUAACAUCCUGUUCCUUACUUCCAAGCAGACAAGCCCUUGCAGUGGGAACCUUUCUGGGUUCUGACUGGAAAAUGGGCACAAGCUGCUCUGUUCUGAUCCAGAGCCCAGCUGUUUGGGGCCAGAGCUUGGAUUCAGGCCCAUCUGAGCCUUCCUGACCACUGGGAACAGGAAGGUUGUUAUAAAACCGGGCUUGGGGCAGACCGUUCUCAGACUGUGCUGGGGAACGUGAGUACGGCUGGCUUGGGGGGGGAGGAUGGUAGCAUGGGCCAUUGGAGACCCGGAUUCAUGUCCCUGCUCUGCCGAAGGCUCCCUGGAGUGACUCACUGAGGCCCAGAUACCCCAAGGCAUUUAGGUUCCUAACUUCUGUUGAAAUCCCCAGGAAUCAGGACCCUAAAUCCCUUUGCAGAUCUGAGCCAUAAGCUCUCUGGGCCUCCAUUCCUGACCUGCAAAUGAGGCUAGCAGCACUGCCCCAUCUCCCAGGAUCGAGAUGGGCUCGGAGACUACAGUACCGGGGUCAGGCUAUCACAGACAGAGAGAAACCUAGUUACCACCUGCUUGUCACCUGACAUGGGUAAAACCCAGCCCCUCUCAGUGCAUAUGGGCCCUUCCGUGGGGUUGGACUGGGCCUCUGAGCUGCGUGACGGCCCAGCUCUGUCCGAGACCGCGGUGCAGGGGGUGCUGUAUGCUAUGGGUGGAACUGGGUUGUGCCCAGGCUGGCAAGCACCUGCGUCAAGCGAAAUCUAAGUGAGCCAGGCAACCCUGACAGCACGUUCCCGGGGAAAGUCAGAGACAGCCCCGGAGUGCAGGCCAAUGCAGCCAUCCUGCCUUGUUCCCCUCACUAGUCCUAUUGAAUACACUAUUAUUAAUACAAUUAAUUCAAUACUUGUAUUUAUUACUACAGGUAUCUGUUUGGUGCCCAUCACCACAGCAUCUGGGCAGCAUCCUAGACUUUUGAGACCACUUGCGCCAUGCCGUGUUACUAGCCGCCAAGGAAGCCUGGGGCUGGGCGGAGGCCCUGCUAUCUUGCUGUCCUCAAAUGUUUCCUCACCUGGGGAGAAUCUGGCCAGACUUGAAGUACUGGCUCUGAUUGCACCUGGCUAGAGCAGAGCCCCUGCAUGGCCUGGGAGGAGCUGCAGCUCGACUGCCUCCCGCCUACCUCUGGGGCUAGAUGCAGCCGGAGGCUGGUUUUUGGGCUUGUUGCCGCUGCAGGGAGCUUUGCAGGCUGUUUCUGCAGGCGGCACCUUUGGGACUCUCAGCAGCUGAUAAGAAAUUGCACAGCUCGGCUAACUGGAGAAUCCAAGGUGCCGCUGCGCUGAAACCAGGGAUGGGGCUGCCAGCUCUUGCCAAGGCCAAAGUCUAGAGCACAGCGAUUAUCCCUCUGCUGAGGAAGGCCCCGUCUGGCGCUAACACCCACCAAUCAGCUCCUACAGUGCCAGCGUCGCUGCCUUUAGAGUGGGGACUCGGGCAGGGCUGGUGGGAACGAGGGAGGUCGAUGGCUAUGCCAGGCCCCGUGAACUCCGAGGCAGAGGAGACCAGCCCACGCCCUGGGGCAGGCGGAGCUGAAGGUCACGCUCCAGUCACUGGCCAGUGCUGUCACGUCUGUCUGCAGGGGUGGAACUGCCCACGUGUGCCCCCUCCCUGGGGCCCAGAGCUGGUGGAGCUGCACCCUAGGGUUGUGACCCCUACAAGGGUUUGGGGGGUUGCUGCUGCCCAGUCCUUGUCAUAUUGCUAAAUAGGAGAUGGGGUCCCAGCUGGCCGGGGGGUGGAUCGCAGCAGGGGGCAAUGUGGGAAAGGUAGAGAAACCUUGGUCUAAUGCACCAGCAUAAGAACAUACUGCUUCUGGUGGCCUUUGUCUGUCUUUGCUCAGAUGACACCUUAGCAGCUGGGAGAGACGCAGCCCUGGGGGGACUGAGGACAGGUACUGUGGGACGAGGGGUCCGAUGGGUCGGCGGGCCAACUGGUAGCACUCUCCUCCGACAUCUCGAAGCCACACUCGUGACUUUGGAAGCCAAUGGGGUCAUUUUUGAUUGAUGCCGUUUGAAUGCUUGGUGUUAGCAACGCUGCUGCUAUUAACUCUCCAUCCUGAGGCUUUCUCUAAGUGGAAGGUGGUGAGCUGCAGGGACAGAUUCCUCCCUGCCCUGAGCUCUCUGGUGUUACUUACCCCAUGUGCAGAAUGUGGGGGAGAUGCAGGGGACAAGGAGCUAUGAAGGAGCUAGGGAGAGGCCGGUCAGAGCCAGGGGGUCAUGUUCAGCCCUCGUGUAAGCAGCUGGGGCUGGGGUCUGCGCCACACCCAUGGCAGAUGGCCUCGUGGGGCCAGAACAUCCCACAGGUAGAUGAAGCACCAGGGUUCUCCCUGUCCUCUGUCCAAGUGUGCAAAGGGCUUCAGAGUGCUGUCCCCACUCCGUACCCACACGGGGGGGACUGGACUCCUUCGGCAGAUGCCAGGGCCCAGUGGACUGUCAUGUUCAGGCUAGGCAGUGUCCAGGGCGCAGCCCACGGAAGAGCAGAGUCACAGCCCCCAAGUAUUUGCCAACCUGUUUUUCUAACUCGGCUCAGCCAAACAUACCUUAAUAGCUGCUUGUAGCAGGAGGGAUAGACAGAGAGCUUUGUUUGUGCCCCAGCAGGGAGCGAGAACGCCCAGCGAUAAAUCACUUCAUUGCACCAAUUGUACUUGAUAGCACUGAGCCAGCGAGCAGAUAACAGAACCCCCAGACCUCCAGUUACAAGUAGAAAUGGGAGCGGUGAGGGCAGCUUGUUUAAGGUGAUCUGAGUUUUAAUGGGUUUGGUGACGCUUACUCUGCAAUGGGCAUGAUAAAGGAUGCUUUAGACUGGCCAUAGUCUGUCUAUCUUCAUCACUCUGAUCAGCUGUGACCUACAAAGCACUGGGUUUGUGCCUGAGUUUAUUAAUAAUGAUCAUCUCCCUAAUACGUCAUUCUUACCCAGAACGUCUCAUCUGUAAGCUGCAGGAACCUCAUGAAGAGGGUAAAUAAUAUCCUCCCUGUUUUACAAAUGGGGAAACUGAGGCCCGGAGCUGGGAAAUGAUUUGUCCAAGUCUGUUUUGCUUCUUGAUGAUGUAUAAAAAUUCCCCAUCUCUCCCCCCACAAUCCCCUGUACGUUAUGGGGGUACAGUUCUGGAUCCUAAAGGUUUUUUUUUCUCUUGCUUCUUAAUUACCUCAGAAAUAUAAAUAUUGUCAGACCUCGUCUCCCCUGGAUUCAUGGGAGGGCUUUUUGGUCUGCCUUGGAGAAAUGUAUUGUAACCUCUCCCACCUCAGUUAAAGGGGGUGGGAAUUCUGAGUCUUUAACCAAGACGUCCUGUUGCCUAAGGCUUCACUAGGCAUCCGAGUGAAACAGGUGCUAACAGAAACGGGUCCCGAGGUUUCAAAAGUGCCUUUGUGAGGUUGGGGGGGGCGCUUCCACUUUUGGAGGCCCAACGUGGGAUGCCUUAAAGGGGUUGUCAGAAGGGGCUGAGCCGCUGCCCUCUGAAAAUCAGGCUCUUGUUAAAGGCGCUUAGGUUGGGCCCUGGACUCACUAGCACUUUUGAAAGUCUUGGCCAAAGGACUGUAAACAGGCUGACUACAAUUUCCUUCCCUUCCCUUCCCAGCUGUGGGUCUCAUAUCGCUCAUCAUCCUCUCCUAACGAAAUCCACCCCAACAAGCGGAGCUUCUCACCAUCACCCUGAUUCGGCUGUGUGUUCCCUCCCUGCGCUCCGUCUGGCUUUAGACUGUUCACUCUUUGGAGCAGGGUCUGCUACUCGCCUGUGUCUGUUUAGCAUCCAGCCCAACCAGGCUCCAGGGCUGGCUGGUUCCUAGCCACUACAGGAAGAAACGCAAUCAUUGAGCUAGUUCCCCAGGCCCCACAGAGGCGUCCAGGGUUUUAGUGCUGCUCCUCGCCCCUAUCCUCUCUAGCAUCGGUUCCAGUCAGUCUUGGCCCUUUCCUGGUUUCCAUCAAUGGCAAACAGACCAUAGCUUUACAAAACCAAACCUUUGCGAACAGACCACAACACCCAAUAAAGCCUGGGAGCCACUGCCACCCAGUGGAUGAUAGAGAUGACACAUUGCUGGGCUGCAAAGCAGAGAACCCACAACAGCUGAUGCCCCGUGACAGUUCAGCAAAUGCAUAGCAGGCCAAUCUUGAAUCCUCCAGCAUGCGUGUGUAAUAAGUUAGCUAUUGCGUCCAAGUGCGCAGGGGGAUACCCCCGCCUUGUACACAAGCUGGAUCUUCAGAGGCCCUGGGGAGCAAAACAAAUGAGUGCACAACAUCCUCUUUGAGUCAGGUCAUCUUUCGACAUCUUUGUCCUCCUGCAGGAUUAUAGCCAUUAAAUAGUUUGCAUGGUUUGUUUCUGUGCAUGGUAAUCUCCUUCAGUCAGCAUGGAAACUAGGUGUCAGACAGGCCUUGAUGGCUCAUAAGAUCAGGAGUACCUGGUGCCCUCCUUUAUAUCCCUCCCACACAGUAGGAUCUAUAGUUAGUUGUUUUUUUUUUCCCCCCCUCUCCCAUGGUUUCAAACACGUGGAUUGAAAUUGUCCACUCUGGGGCUCUGUAGAGUACGUGAGCUGAGGCCGGCAUUCUCGGUCUCGGUGCUAGUGAUCAGGUGUCCAAUUUGGCCACGGUAAAAAAUCUGGCAUUCAAAGAUGGUCCGAGUAGAUUCCCCAUGUGCCCAACUGGGAAAUAGCCCUGUUACUGUUCAGAUCAUGUGUGCAGGCCUCUGUGUGUUUGGCCAGACAGGAUGGAGUUAAAUCAGAGGAGGCUGUAAAUGCGGAAACCUGCAGGCCAGGAGCAAUGGCGAAGAUAAGACAGCCCCCUCCCAAGGCCAUGCCUCGAUCAAAAGAGACCUAAAGGCACUGGAAAAGGGAGAGGAGGAGUGUGAUAGGAUGGGAGGAGAGGGGAGUUAGGAGAAGCUACCAAGCGUGUGUCAGAGAAAAGCUGACCGUCUGACUGCUACCCAGAGGAACAGGGAGACACAGGGACUUGUAAACAAGCCAGAGAUGGACUCAGCUGGGCUGAGGGGCACUUUGCUCUAAUGCAUUGUCCCUUUGAGAAACGAACGAACAACGGGCUGUUUUGGAGACACUGGCUCUGGGUCCCUGCAAAUGGGAAAUGUCCCAGGCUCUCGAAGGGAAACUCCUCGUGGUGCUCAAACUAGACUGACUCUGUGUCAUUAACACAAUUGGGAGCCAGGGAUCCAGCUUGACAGUGGUUGUACCCAAAGUGAGGGAGGAAACCAGGCCUGUCAUGUAAGGGGUGCACUGGAGAGGGACUGAAAGAGGCCCAAGGCACAGUUUACCCAGUAACUGGGACACUUUAUAAAUUAAAAAAACAAAACAAAACUUGAAUCCAUCAUAAUUCAUACUAUUUAUGCCCCUUCUUGACAAAGCAGACAGGCCAUGGGCUGAAAGGGUCUCUCUCAUGCAUAGAAGGUGUCUCUCCAGGGGAAGUCUGAGGCUCUUGGCACGUGGAGAGAGCUUGCAUUGUGGAUAGAAAACUUUUAAAAAAUUGCAAACUGUCACUUCAAAGCCGAAGGGAUUUUUUUACUCAUCCUGCGUACAGGGUAGGGGAUUCUAUAAGGAAGCAUGUGAUCAGAGUCAAUUCUUCAGAUAGCCAGUUUAGAGUAAAGUGGGACAAGUUGUGUCUCUCUCAUUUUUUGGGGAGCAGCCUGUUUUGUCUCUCUCUGAUUUGGGGUUCUUGUAUGUUAUUGUUCAGAAUGGUAAGAUAUAAAGCAGUGCUACAUUGCAAUCUUUCAGCAAAAGUAUUUUUGUUCUUAUUUAACUUCUCUGUAUGUAUACCGUGUACAUACCAA
This is a long non-coding RNA of Gopherus evgoodei (Goodes thornscrub tortoise), 7079 nucleotides long. RefSeq lists it as uncharacterized. The transcript has 2 exons. The record is from RefSeq and is a predicted model, not a curated record. Lineage: Eukaryota; Metazoa; Chordata; Testudines; Testudinidae.